Molecule: ribosomal RNA, 253 nt
Filed under: uncultured bacterium
Lineage: Bacteria
Description: partial 16S ribosomal RNA
Rfam family: Bacterial small subunit ribosomal RNA
Source: RNAcentral
GACGUACUGCGCGAACGUUAUUCGGAAUCACUGGGCUUAAAGGGUGCGCAGGCGGCUCGUCGAGCCCGUGGUGAAAGGCCCCGGCCCAACCGGGGACGGUCUUCGGGGACUGACGAGCUCGGGCGAGCUAGGGGUCCGUGGAACUCCCGGUGGAGCGGUGAAAUGUGUUGAGAUCGGGAGGAACACCAGUGGCGAAGGCGGCUACCUGGACCAGCACUGACACUGAAGCACGAAAGCGUGGGGAGCAAACAGG